Long non-coding RNA from Camelina sativa (false flax), 411 nucleotides. RefSeq lists it as uncharacterized. The record is from RefSeq and is a predicted model, not a curated record. Lineage: Eukaryota; Viridiplantae; Streptophyta; Magnoliopsida; Brassicales; Brassicaceae.
UUUUUUUUUUUUUUUUUUUUUUUUUUUUUUUAAUCGAUUACCCUAUGUGAGUUUUUUGAGGUAAAGAUGACAACUCCAGCAGUGAAAACCGGUUUGUUCGUUAGAUUGAACAAAGGACAUGUCGUCCCAAUUUUCAGAAAGGGUGAAGGAGAUGAAUUUGGUAAGAGAACUGGAAAUAGAUUUGAAGAUUGCAAAUGUCAUCUUAGUUGUGCAGGUUUUUGUGUGUUUCUUGCUGGAAUGGAAGACGAAAUUUGGCUUCUUUUAUGAAUGGGGCUUCAAGAGAUCUUAUUGUACACUUAUUCCAAAAAGAAACAAACUCUUCUGGUAUAAUUCUCUAUUUAUUUCAGACAUCUGGACUCUGCUGGUCUGGUCUUUAGUUUAAUCUAUUUUCUUGAAAUUUUUUAUGUGUUA